RNAcentral lists this ribosomal RNA (98 nucleotides) under uncultured bacterium. Its description in RNAcentral is "partial 16S ribosomal RNA". The record is from RNAcentral.
CGGGUCGUAAAGCUCUGUCAGAGGGAAAGAAGUGUGUGGAGGCUAAUACCCUUUGCACUUGACGGUACCCUCAAAGGAAGCACCGGCUAACUCCGUGC